AGUGAACGCUGGCGGUAGGCCUAACACAUGCAAGUCGAACGGCAGCACAGUAAGAGCUUGCUCUUACGGGUGGCGAGUGGCGGACGGGUGAGGAAUACAUCGGAAUCUACUUUUUCGUGGGGGAUAACGUAGGGAAACUUACGCUCAUACCGCAUACGACCUACGGGUGAAAGCAGGGGAUCUUCGGACCUUGCGCGAUUGAAUGAGCCGAUGUCGGAUUAGCUAGUUGGCGGGGUAAAGGCCCACCAAGGCGACGAUCCGUAGCUGGUCUGAGAGGAUGAUCAGCCACACUGGAACUGAGACACGGUCCAGACUCCUACGGGAGGCAGCAGUGGGGAAUAUUGGACAAUGGGCGCAAGCCUGAUCCAGCCAUACCGCGUGGGUGAAGAAGGCCUUCGGGUUGUAAAGCCCUUUUGUUGGGAAAGAAAAGCAGCAGGUUAAUACCCCGCUGUUCUGACGGUACCAAAAGAAUAAGCACCGGCUAACUUCGUG
Molecule: ribosomal RNA, 492 nt
Filed under: uncultured bacterium
Lineage: Bacteria
Description: partial 16S ribosomal RNA
Rfam family: Bacterial small subunit ribosomal RNA
Source: RNAcentral